CCCCCUCAGCACCUACCCUCCCGUCACCCCCCGGCCGGGGCCGGUGUCUCCACCAGUUCCCACUUCCUCCCCUAACAUCAACCGGCAGCCCCACCUCCCUCACCCCAUUGGCAUCUCUAUCCCUGCCAAACCAUGCUGCUGUCCCCCCAGCGAAGAGCAUGGCCUGCCCCUUUACCCCACACUCCUGCCCUGCACAGCUGGUUGGGGGAGGGGGCUAUUGCACCCAGUCUUAAAACCACGGUCCCCUAGAAGACUUGGGAACACACACACGCACAUGCCUAUCAUGGAUUUGGGCAUCUCACAACCCACCUAGUAUUUUUCCUUGUACCCUAUCAGAUUGUGAGGCUUUGCUAGGCUGAAGCUCCUUCCCCUCCCUCUUUCCAAUUUUCUCCUCCCCUCCAGUCUUCUGGCGAUUGUUCUGCAUGUACAGCAUAAAAAGAGAGAAAAGCAAGACGGUGCAACAUUCAGACUUUAAUCCAGUGGUUCUCAACCUGUGGCCCAUGGCCUGCUUGUGGCCCAGUCAGCACACCGCUGCAGCCCAUAUGACAGCCUCGGGGCCAUACAACCAAAGAUCCAGAGCAGCUGUAACCUGGGGAAGGAGAACCCUGACUGAACCAGGAGUAACGUGACAGCUGGAGCAGAACUGCACCAAAAAGGCAACACCUUUCAGGAAUCUCAACAUCCUUGCUUGGCUUCCAAGAAGCAACUAUGCCUCAAGAAUUGACCCUA
This is a long non-coding RNA of Gopherus evgoodei (Goodes thornscrub tortoise), 729 nucleotides long. RefSeq lists it as uncharacterized. NCBI's taxonomy places the organism in Eukaryota, Metazoa, Chordata, Testudines, Testudinidae. The record is from RefSeq and is a predicted model, not a curated record. The transcript is spliced from 3 exons.